UCCUCGGUAGCUCAGUUGGUAGAGCAGGAGACUGUUAAUCUCUUGGUCGCUGGUUCGAGUCCGGCCCGGGGAGCCA
Molecule: transfer RNA, 76 nt
Filed under: Gammaproteobacteria bacterium
Lineage: Bacteria; Pseudomonadati; Pseudomonadota; Gammaproteobacteria
Description: tRNA-Asn
Rfam family: tRNA
About the family: Transfer RNA (tRNA) molecules are approximately 80 nucleotides in length. Their secondary structure includes four short double-helical elements and three loops (D, anti-codon, and T loops). Further hydrogen bonds mediate the characteristic L-shaped molecular structure. tRNAs have two regions of fundamental functional importance: the anti-codon, which is responsible for specific mRNA codon recognition, and the 3' end, to which the tRNAs corresponding amino acid is attached (by aminoacyl-tRNA synthetases). tRNAs cope with the degeneracy of the genetic code in two manners: having more than one tRNA (with a specific anti-codon) for a particular amino acid; and 'wobble' base-pairing, i.e. permitting non-standard base-pairing at the 3rd anti-codon position.
Source: RNAcentral